AGGCACGUAGCUCAGUUGGUUAGAGCACCACCUUGACAUGGUGGGGGUCGUUGGUUCGAAUUCAAUCGUGCCUACCA
RNAcentral lists this transfer RNA (77 nucleotides) under Neisseria meningitidis. Its description in RNAcentral is "tRNA-Val". It matches the Rfam family "tRNA". Rfam says of the family: Transfer RNA (tRNA) molecules are approximately 80 nucleotides in length. Their secondary structure includes four short double-helical elements and three loops (D, anti-codon, and T loops). Lineage: Bacteria; Pseudomonadati; Pseudomonadota; Betaproteobacteria; Neisseriales; Neisseriaceae. The record is from RNAcentral.